Long non-coding RNA from Rhododendron vialii, 1006 nucleotides. RefSeq lists it as uncharacterized. The transcript is spliced from 2 exons. The record is from RefSeq and is a predicted model, not a curated record. NCBI's taxonomy places the organism in Eukaryota, Viridiplantae, Streptophyta, Magnoliopsida, Ericales, Ericaceae.
CUGCCGACUCCCAAUUCUGCCGACAUAGCGAGAGAGAGAGGGGGAGAGAAAGGGAGGAGGAGGUCACGGCUAAGGGGAGGGAGGAAGGAGAGGUCCGGUUUCGACGAUCCAACUCGGUGACAAGUAACGAGCCGGUCUUUUAGGAGGUGCCGAAACCGUAAGUUUGGCAUACUCCAGUCGAAUGAAAGGUGAGUGUGUCUGAUAUGGUUCUUCUCAAUAAGAUAUUGCUAUGGUGGUAUGUAUAUAUCUUGCUAAUGGUAUUUUAGCUUUCAAUAUGAUUAUCGAUAUGUAAAUAAUGCGGUGGAGGUGAUUAUAUAUCAAUGAUAUCAUGCUAAUCGAGGUUUAGCUAUUGAUAUGGAUAUAUGUGGUCGAAAUUGUAUAUCAUGCUAUAUAUUGUUUAGCUAAUGGUAUGCAUGCUUGUUGUAUGUUGAUUGUACCCGCGAAAGGAUUGUGAAGUGAGUCACACCAUAUCGUGGGCCAUGCCGUCUAAUUAACGGUGAAUGGGAGUGUGGUGUGCGGGACACAAUUCCUUGGGUACAUGGGAUGUGGCAGACGUGUCACUGUAUGUUGGUGUUUAUACAUGUGGUUAUACGAUUGAGUACUUAUGUUGAGUUUCGUGUGAUUUACAUUCAUGCCGUUAUUGUUAUGUGGUUGUUUAUUGAAUAAUAUUGCUAUGUUUGGAGAAUGUGGUGGUUAUGAUUAUUGAUAUUCUUUUGGGUAUUGUGACAUUUUAUUGAGCAUUUCUAUAUCUCACACACUCUGGUUUUCCUUUUUGGACUGCCAGGUAGCAGGUGGCUUAGAGUGGGUCCACUACUGGUCAACGCUUUGGAGAGUGCUAGACUAGCGUCGGGUGAUGUCUUUGGUUAGAUUGUUGCGUAGCUGAUUCGUCUAGAAGCUAACCUAAAUGUUAUGUAAUUAAUUGGAGAGAGGGAUAUUUAUUAUAACUUGAGAGUUGAGGUUUUGGGCGUUGACUUGGUUGUAUUUUAAGUGAGAAGUCUUCCGCUAA